RNAcentral lists this ribosomal RNA (272 nucleotides) under uncultured Staphylococcus sp. RNAcentral describes it as "partial 16S ribosomal RNA". It matches the Rfam family "Bacterial small subunit ribosomal RNA", at positions 90 to 356 of the family's 1533-position model. The record is from RNAcentral. Lineage: Bacteria; Bacillati; Bacillota; Bacilli; Caryophanales; Staphylococcaceae.
CGUUAGCGGCGGACGGGUGAGUAACACGUGGGUAACCUACCUAUAAGACUGGGAUAACUUCGGGAAACCGGAGCUAAUACCGGAUAAUAUUUCGAACCGCAUGGUUCGAUAGUGAAAGAUGGUUUUGCUAUCACUUAUAGAUGGACCUGCGCCGUAUUAGCUAGUUGGUAAGGUAACGGCUUACCAAGGCGACGAUACGUAGCCGACCUGAGAGGGUGAUCGGCCACACUGGAACUGAGACACGGUCCAGACUCCUACGGGAGGCAGCAGUG